CUGCAGCUCAAGUGGUGAUCAUUAUUAUUGGGCCUAAAACGUCCGUAGCCGGUUUAGUAAAUGCCUGGGUAAACCGUGUAGCUUAACUAUACGACUUCCGGGUAGACUGCUAAACUUGAGACCGGGAGAGGCUAGAGGUACUCCUGGGGUAGAGGUGAAAUUCUGUAAUCCUAGGGGGACCACCAGUGGCGAAGGCGUCUAGCUAGAACGGGUCUGACGGUGAGGGACGAAGCCCUGGGGCACAAACCGGAUUAGAUACCCCAGUAGUCC
This 270-nucleotide ribosomal RNA is filed under the name uncultured archaeon. RNAcentral describes it as "partial 16S ribosomal RNA". It matches the Rfam family "Archaeal small subunit ribosomal RNA", at positions 477 to 747 of the family's 1478-position model. The record is from RNAcentral.